Molecule: ribosomal RNA, 253 nt
Filed under: uncultured prokaryote
Description: partial 16S ribosomal RNA
Rfam family: Bacterial small subunit ribosomal RNA
Source: RNAcentral
ACGGAGGGUGCAAGCGUUAUCCGGAUUCACUGGGUUUAAAGGGUGCGUAGGUGGGUUGGUAAGUCCGUGGUGAAAUCCCCAAGCUUAACUUGGGAACUGCCGUGGAUACUAUCAAUCUUGAAUAUCGUUGAGGUUAGCGGAAUAUGUCAUGUAGCGGUGAAAUGCUUAGAUAUGACAUAGAACACCGAUAGCGGAGGCAGCUAACUAAGCGAUCAUUGACACUGAGGCACGAAAGCGUGGGGAGCAAACAGGA